UGCGCACGCUUGCAGCGCAUACGUCCUCUUGUCUGUCCGCCUCAGCGAAGCGUCCCUCACUGUGUCUUGCAGCUGCGCCUCUGCUGAUCGUGUGUGUCUGUCUGUGUGUGUGUGUGUGUGUGUGUGUGUGUGUGUGUGUUUAGGGAGGCUCGAUUUUGCUUGCUCGCGUCCGCUUCCGCCUCUCCCUCACCCACCGCCACCGCGCUGUUCCCGCGUGCGUUCGUGUGCACGUAUGCGUUUAGUGGCCCCCCCUCCCCCUCCCCGUGUGUGUAUGUAUAUGUCUGUGUCUGUGUGUGUGUGUGUGUGUCGGUGAUCCUCAUAUUAGCACAUCUCCAAACUAUCUGUGCGCAAACUUCACUACGUACUGCUCCCCCCCCCUCCCCUUCCCUCCCUCCUUCUCACUCGCCACCGCACCGGCCUUCUCGGCUUCUUCGUUCGUGCUCGACGCUGCAUUAUUGUCCCCACUACUACCGACCGACCAGCCGACCGCUCCUUUCCCUCUUGUCCCUUGCGUGCGCGUGUUUGUGCCUCGGUCGACUGACAGUGUGGGGUAGUGCCACGCGCCGUCAUACUCGUCGUGGUGGGCCGCUGCUUCCCUUCUCGAGCACAGAGAGAGAGAGAGCAGCCGCCCCGCCCCCGCUCCUCGUUUCCUUGUCCCCUCCCACCACGCCACUCUUCUCGCUCGGCCGUGUGUGCGCGUGCGUGAGCAGGCGUUAGACAGCGCUUUCAGUGAUCAGCGUUUCGAUUCUCAAGGAUGGACUCCGCCGCCCCGGACCAGGCGCAUGGGCCCGCGUCAGGGACCGACUACUCCCGUGCAUCUCGUCGCCACAAUCACCGCAGCAGCGCCGACGCAGGCCGAAACGGCGACGCUGAGCCAUCCGGGAGCCGCACCAGCAGCUCGCGGCAUCAUCGCCACCACCGCCAUCACCGGCCGGACGACAGUGAGCACAGUUCGCGCCGCUACAAGCACCGAUCCCACCGUCGAACGGAUAGCGCGCAGGUCGAUGACACAACAGCCGUGCCGAGCGAAAACAAUUUCGCCGCAUCCAGCGCCAAGGAGCAUCAAGACUCGCAGGCGCAGGAGCCGCAGCAGCCUUCGCUAGACGACGAGGCGCCGAGCAGCUGCGUCAGCACCCAUAGCUCGCGACUGCCACCCCGAAGACACGAGCGGCUUUCCGUGACGGAAGCACCUGGAGAGCCGCAGAGAUCCUUCGCCUCGCCCGCGUCAUCCACCGCGGUGCCGGGCUCCAGCGCUGCCAGUGAGAUAAUCCGCAGUGGAAGUGCGCUAGCACGGCGGAACGGUGCGGCGAUCAACGGUCGCAGCUCUGCCGGAAGCUCUGCGGCAGCCGCAGCAGCAGCAGUGGGUGCGCUAAAGGCAGCCGCAGCACCUUCAUUGCCGUCGUGGGGCCGGAAGUCGUCGUCGUCACGCACCUUCUCAGAGAAGCCGCCGGCUGAGGCGAGCAGUGAUGCUGCGGACGGCGCCGCGCCCGCCUUGAAAACGCCAGCACACCAGCAGCCCCCACCGCCACCGGAAGCGGUCGUCGCAUCCCCAUCGCCGGCCGCGGCUUCCCUGGCGUCACUCGAAGCUGCCGUCGUCGAAGCCGACGCGAUGGUGCGCUCUUGGCAGCAGUGCAUCGACCCGAACAUGGAGAAUCUACCGUCAUCUCUUACUUCCUCCGUCUUUCGCUCGGGCCACAGCGCUGCACCGGCUGUGCCGCCACCACCCGCUCCGCCGUCGGCGUCCGCCGCUCAUCCGGCACACCGCAGAGAUGCGGCGGAGGAGGCGUCGCAGACAAGUUCACGACUGAAGAGGACGUCACAAGCAUCGAGUCGGUGCGGCGCCGGCGAAGUUCACAAGAAGGCCAGUGAAGACGCUGCCGAGGGCGGCAUGAACCCCGCGCGCCACGAGUCCGCCGCCGCCUCGCCGGUUGGCGUGCCCGCCGCAGCAGAGGCGGUCGUCACCACGCGUCAGCCGUCGUCUGUGCGUUCACACGCGUCGUCUGCGGUGGUUGAGGAUGCGCGCAGGAGCAACGCCUCGGUGCGUCCUGACGUAGGUGAGGAACACGGCGUCACAGGGAGCUCGGCGAGCUCGGUGUAUCAGCGCCUGCCGAGGGCAGACCCGUUCGACAAGGAGAGCGUAAGCAGCUCUCACUGCGACAGCGGCGCGCUCCCGCCGCCUCCGGCCUUCUCGUCGUUCGCGUCGGUGCCGUCCGUUGCCGCGGCCAUGUCGUUCAAGUCUCCAGGCCAGCAGGCCAGCCAACGCUCCUUUAGUGGCUCGUGUCGGCGGCGCGUUGCCGCCGCGAGCGAGCUGCGAGUCGUCUUAUGUCGGCGCGCGUUGCGCAGCGGAGGAAGCGUCACCAGCCGCUCCACAGCAGGCUUUGAACCCUUCCACCUAAACACGGAGCGCCGCAGCGCAGUCCGGCGAUCGAUGUCACCUUGCUGCGCACCGCCGGACCCGCUUGCCAGCGUGCCUGCGCAAGAGCGGCAGCGGCUACUGAACUUGCCGCAUCAGCUGAGCACCGCACCCGGCACCUCGCGCCUGGAUAUGAACUUCGAGCAGGACGUGAAGGAGCUGUACAGGCAGACGCACCUUGUCGAUCCGCUCCUGCUUAGCCGUCCUGGGCGGCGCCAGUUUUACAUCCCAGAGCAGGCAGACCUGUUCGGCAUGUACCCAGAGCCGCCGAUGACGACGGACGAGGACGGCAACGAGAUCGUCAAGCACCUCGCGCCGAUCCCAAUCCAAGCGCAGAGCUUCGUGCCAUCGCAGACGCGGAAGUCGUCACAGCAGCCACCGAUGGCUCCUGCCUCCCGCGUGCAGCACGGGAAGGCGGCAGAAGCUGAUGCAACUGGCGGCAGCAGCAGCGGUAGGGCGGUGGUCCGCCCUGGCCGCGGUCUCUCCAGUUUUGUCGUCGGGUACGGCGAGGAGACAACGGCAAAGGGGCGCGGCGGCCUUACGCAGCCGCGCGGCCGCAUCGUCAGCGACAUCACCGCGCCGUACCGACGCAACAUGGCGGCUAACACAGGGCGCACCGGCCACAUCCAGCGCGAGGCGCUCAUGGCCAACUGCCUACUCCCACCGUGUGGCUCAGAGACGCCACUUCCAGCCUCGGCGAGGUCGUUGUCGCCUGGUAUGAUGGCGGCGGACGAGUCGCAGGCCUCGACACCGUUCACCAUCAUGCGGCCCACGCCAUCCUCAGAGCCGAGUAACGGCAUCCCAAUAUCGGACAGCGAGUACGGCUAUGCGCAGGUGACGACAGCACGCAUGAUGCCUGCGGCCGUAUCGCUGCAAGAUCAGCAGCAGCCGUGUGUCAAUGCCGUGGCGGCGUUCGCUGAGGACGAGGAGUACAGCUACAAUGUGCAGUCCGCUGCAGUCAUGGUGUCAUCGAAGCCAACGCUCACGGUGUCCGCGGCAGUUGUCGUUCAGUCAUCCCUGGGGGGUGGCGCAGGAAGCAGCAGCAGCCACAGCGAAGGCAUCUCCGUGCAGGUGAAACCGACCGUGGCUCCACCGCCGACGCGCGUCGAUGCUAGCACUGCAAUGGUGCUCGCCGCGGCACCGAAACUUACGGGCACGCCGCGUUCGACCAGCACCGAUGGCGCUGCCGCUGCCGCGACGGAGCGACGAAGCUGUCCAGUGCGCCGCGGUGAAGGGGCGGUGAACGCGGCAGAGAAGGCGUCUGCGUCGUCUUUGGUUUCCGCAAGCGCCUCUCUCCUCAAUGAGGCCAUCACGGGUGCGAGCAGCAGCAACAGCAGCAGUGCCGUGACCAGUGAGCCGAAGAAGGCACCAAAGGACUCGCGGCGAAGCACAGGAAUCCUCAAGUCACUUCCGCUGCAGCAGCAGGCGGAGCAACUGCAACCUGGAGAAUCAGAGGCGGUCGCGGCCGCCGCUUCACAGUCGACCGCACCGACGCCCAAGACAGCACCAUCGUCUGUCAUGGACAAGUCGACGCACUCCCUCGCCUUCAGCGUGGCGGCGUCGUCGACCGUCGUGGAUCCAUCGCCGGAGCCGCCGAUCCCCACCGCGCGCCGACACGCAGACCCGGUGCCCGUGUCGAUGUCGCCGCUGUCCGAGUCAUCCUUGCCGUCGCAGCGUAACAGGCGGGAGAGGUUCCAGCCGACGAAGGAAACGCGGGUGUCGCCGAGCACAUCCUUGACUGGCACACCACCUGCCCUGCCCCCACCGCCACAAGCAAAGCCGGCAGCAGCCGUCAGCAGUGAGCCCGACAAGCCUUCGGCAGUUCACGAAGGCUAUGGCUCCGCGCUGGAAAGGUACAGACGCAAGGAGGCAGCCAUGUCAAAGGAUGGCAACAUGCGCCGUGUGUAUCGCAGAAGCCGGCGUAGCGAGUCCGGCGCCACCGUGGAGGCUGUGGCAGAAGUACCUGCUGCCACAGCGGCUCACGGUGACACCCUGGCGUGCUUUCCGCCGGGAUCGAAGCCAGCGUCCGCGCUGUCGAUGGCCGCCUCCACCUCGUCACCGAAUGUCGUUGACAGCGCUGCCGCCGGGCACCGCAGCCGCUGCCGCGAAACCCCGCUCGCCCUCGAUCGCGGCACGCAGACGGAGUUCGUCUUUGUGCUAGAUGACCUGCAAGGCCGCCAGCUCCAACAACUUCAGCAAGAGCAGCUGCUAAAGAACCUACAGCUCAUGCAGUUGCAGCUCCAAAGGCAGCCGCUGCUGAUCCUUAACGCGGGCAGCUAUAGCCCGUCCACCUUCACCACGACAUCUACGCCGCGGAUGUCACUGAGCCCGCAACCGCAAACCUCAGGCAGCACGAGCCCUUCUAUGAAGCCGCGUCAGCACUCCGCUGGCCUCUCCCCGACCCGGCAGCGGCGCGGCUACUUCGUCAACGAUUCCCGCGCCGUGCGCGAUGCGCUGUGGUGGCCAAGGUAAAGGAUCGCCGAAGCAAGCAGCCGCCAACGAGCGAAAAGGCGUCUCUGUGUGUGUGCAUGUAUGUUAGUUGAAGCGUGCUGUUGGUCUCCACGUGGGGGAGUGGGGGGGGGGGGGGACGAGUGUGCUCUGCGCCGCGGUAUUGAGGAACGAACGCCCCCGCCGCCCGCCCGCCCGCGCCAACGCCGCUAUCCGUGUUCUCCCUCUCUUGCCAAGCGUCGCCCUUCCCUCUGUGUGAGGGGUGCGGAGGUGUGGCGCGUUUGUGAUGCGAUCGUGGCGCGCGUGUCCGCGAAGACCCAUACGCCCAUC
Molecule: unclassified non-coding RNA, 5191 nt
Filed under: Leishmania donovani
Lineage: Eukaryota; Euglenozoa; Kinetoplastea; Trypanosomatida; Trypanosomatidae
Description: gene:LdHU3.04.1050(CDS-product:Peptide_deformylas e_2_putative)
Source: RNAcentral